Molecule: ribosomal RNA, 463 nt
Filed under: uncultured bacterium
Lineage: Bacteria
Description: bacterial SSU rRNA
Rfam family: Bacterial small subunit ribosomal RNA
Source: RNAcentral
GAUGAACGCUGGCGGCGUGCCUAACACAUGCAAGUCGAGCGAUUCUCCUCGGAGAAGAGCGGCGGACGGGUGAGUAACGCGUGGGUAACCUGCCCUGUACACACGGAUAACAUACCGAAAGGUAUGCUAAUACGAGAUAAUAUGCUUUUAUCGCAUGGUAGAAGUAUCAAAGCUCCGGCGGUACAGGAUGGACCCGCGUCUGAUUAGCUAGUUGGUAAGGUAACGGCUUACCAAGGCGACGAUCAGUAGCCGACCUGAGAGGGUGAUCGGCCACAUUGGAACUGAGACACGGCCCAGACUCCUACGGGAGGCAGCAGUGAGGAAUUUUGCGCAAUGGGGGAAACCCUGACGCAGCGACGCCGCGUGGAGGAUGAAGGCCUUCGGGUCGUAAACUCCUGUCAGAGGUGAAGAAUGCCCGCAAGGGUUGACGGUAACCUCAGAGGAAGCCCCGGCUAACUCCGUG